RNAcentral lists this transfer RNA (86 nucleotides) under Parcubacteria group bacterium RIFCSPHIGHO2_01_FULL_56_18. RNAcentral describes it as "tRNA-Leu". It matches the Rfam family "tRNA". Rfam says of the family: Transfer RNA (tRNA) molecules are approximately 80 nucleotides in length. The record is from RNAcentral.
GCCGGAGUGGCGGAAUGGUAUACGCGAACGACUCAAAAUCGUUUGGGAGCAAUCUCGUGUGGGUUCAAGUCCCACCUCCGGCACCA